RNAcentral lists this ribosomal RNA (468 nucleotides) under uncultured bacterium. Its description in RNAcentral is "partial 16S ribosomal RNA". It matches the Rfam family "Bacterial small subunit ribosomal RNA", at positions 28 to 507 of the family's 1533-position model. The record is from RNAcentral.
GACGAACGCUGGCGGCGUGCUUAACACAUGCAAGUCGAACGGAAAGGCCCUGCUUUUGUGGGGUGCUCGAGUGGCGAACGGGUGAGUAACACGUGAGUAACCUGCCCUUGACUUUGGGAUAACUUCAGGAAACUGGGGCUAAUACCGGAUAGGAGCUCCUGCUGCAUGGUGGGGGUUGGAAAGUUUCGGCGGUUGGGGAUGGACUCGCGGCUUAUCAGCUUGUUGGUGGGGUAGUGGCUUACCAAGGCUUUGACGGGUAGCCGGCCUGAGAGGGUGACCGGCCACGUUGGGACGGAGAUGCGGCCCAGACUCGUACGGGAGGCAACAGAGGGGAAUAGUGCACAAUGGGCGGGAGCAUGAUGCAGCAACGCCGCGUGCGGGAUGACGGCAUGCGGGUUGUAAUCCGCUGUCGCCUGUGACGAAGCGUGAGUGACGGUAAUGGGUAAAGAAGCACCGGCUAACUACGUG